GGUGGGGUGGCUGAGUGGCCGAAAGCACCGGUUUCGAAAACCGGCGAGUCGAAAGGCUCCCAGGGUUCAAAUCCCUGCCCCACCGCCA
This 88-nucleotide transfer RNA is filed under the name Marinobacterium aestuarii. Its description in RNAcentral is "tRNA-Ser". It matches the Rfam family "tRNA". From Rfam's summary of the family: Transfer RNA (tRNA) molecules are approximately 80 nucleotides in length. Their secondary structure includes four short double-helical elements and three loops (D, anti-codon, and T loops). The record is from RNAcentral. Lineage: Bacteria; Pseudomonadati; Pseudomonadota; Gammaproteobacteria; Oceanospirillales; Oceanospirillaceae. RNAcentral also lists the same sequence under 1 other name.